Molecule: ribosomal RNA, 968 nt
Filed under: uncultured bacterium
Lineage: Bacteria
Description: bacterial SSU rRNA
Rfam family: Bacterial small subunit ribosomal RNA
Source: RNAcentral
CUCCGUGCCAGCAGCCGCGGUAAUACGGAGGGUGCAAGCGUUAUCCGGGAUUCAUUGGGUUUAAAGGGUGCGUAGGCGGAUUAUUAAGUCAGGGGUGAAAGUUUGCGGCUCAACCGUAAAAUUGCCUUUGAUACUGGUAAUCUUGAGUACAUUUGAGGUAGGCGGAAUGUGAUGUGUAGCGGUGAAAUGCUUAGAUAUAUCACAGAACACCGAUUGCGAAGGCAGCUUACUAAACUGUAACUGACGCUGAGGCACGAAAGCGUGGGUAUCGAACAGGAUUAGAUACCCUGGUAGUCCACGCCGUAAACGAUGAUUACUAGUUGUUUGCAAUACAUAGUAAGCGACAAAGCGAAAGCAUUAGGUAAUCCACCUGGGGAGUACGUUGGCAACAAUGAAACUCAAAGGAAUUGACGGGGGCCCGCACAAGCGGAGGAACAUGUGGUUUAAUUCGAUGAUACGCGAGGAACCUUACCUGGACUUAAAUGGGGAGUGACAGGCUUAGAGAUAGGCUUUUCUUCGGACACUCUUCAAGGUGCUGCAUGGUUGUCGUCAGCUCGUGCCGUGAGGUGUCGGGUUAAGUCCCAUAACGAGCGCAACCCACGUCUUUAGUUACCAGCACGUAAUGGUGGGCACUCUAGAGAGACUGCCGGUGUAAACCGCGAGGAAGGUGUGGAUGACGUCAAAUCAGCACGGCCCUUACGUCCAGGGCUACACACGUGUUACAAUGGCCGGUACAGAGGGCAGCUACUGGGUGACCAGAUGCGAAUCUCCAAAACCGGUCUCAGUUCGGAUCGAAGUCUGCAACCCGACUUCGUGAAGCUGGAUUCGCUAGUAAUCGCAUAUCAGCCAUGAUGCGGUGAAUACGUUCCCGGGCCUUGUACACACCGCCCGUCAAACCAUGGAAGCCGGGGGUACCUGAAGUCUGUAACCGUAAGGAGCGGCCUAGGGUAAAUCUGGUAACUAGGGUU